Molecule: long non-coding RNA, 1247 nt
Filed under: Anolis carolinensis (green anole)
Lineage: Eukaryota; Metazoa; Chordata; Lepidosauria; Squamata; Anolidae
Description: lncRNA (ENSACAG00000038794.1)
Source: RNAcentral
AUGCAGCAUGCUGGGAAAAUGGAGUCCUACAGCGGCCAUCAAUUGACUCACGGCCACUUCAGGUGGCUGCUCAUGGGAAUCCGUCUUGCCCUCAUGCUAAAGCAGAGAGAAGGUUUCAUUUUCAUGAUCAUGAUUCAAGAAAGCAGGGGAAAGCAGGAAGAAAAUGGGGAAAGGACAUGGGAUGGCUGGCCAUCCCUGAAGACAGACCUUGCCAGAAGAAAACAGGGUAAGACAGUUCCCCACUCUUCCCAGUGCUGUCCCCAUUUUCCCCCAUUUCCCUCCUGCCUGUCUGAUGAAGUCCUAAGCUAAGUUAGAACAGGAAGAAUGUUAAAUUACCAAUGAAAGAUUAAAAAGGAGGUGGAAAGAGGUGGGGUGAGCCCUAAGAAUAUCAUUCCAAGGACAAAUCUGCACGAUCAUAAGAUUAUAUGCAAUACUAUACAAGUUCUACUGCAUAGUAUCCCUGGUCCAUUUUGACCCCUAUACUGUGACACACACAUUUUAAUCUAAGUGAAAUUAUUCUAAAAAGUCACAUGGAAUACCAUUAUGCAACCAUAUCAGUGCAAGGGAGUGUUUCAGCUGCGUGUUCAUGUUUACUACAUGAGCAUAUGUUUGGUCGCAUGGCUGCCACAUCUGCAAGAUUGUGUGUGUGUGUGUGUUUGUGUGGCUGGAUUCCUGCAUCACAUUUAUGUAUUACAUUUGUAUGUCAUCUCAGAAUGCUAGAGCUGCAAUAUUCUUAGUGAGCAAAAUAAAAGUGUAUCUACUAAUGUAUUUGUGUUUUUGCUUAUACCUUACUAUACUUUUUUCAUCCACAAUGUUAAUAUUCUGACAGUAUGAAAACCAAAUGUUAAGGUAAAGGUAAAGGUUUCCCCUGACAUUAAGUCCAGUCGUGACCGACUCUGAAGGUUGGUGCUCAUCUCCAUUUCUAAGCCGAAGAGCCAGCGUUGUCCAUAGACACCUCUAGGGUCAUGUGGCUAGCAUGACUGCAUGGAGCUCCGUUACCUUCCCGCCGGAGCAGUACCUAUUGAUCUACUCACAUUUGCAUGUUUUCGAACUGCUAGGUUGACAGGAGCUGGGGCUAACAGCGGGCGCUCAUUCCGCUCCCGGGAUUUGAACCUGGGACCUUUUGGUCCGCAAGUUCAGCAGUUCAACGCUUUAACACACUGUGCCACCAGGGGCCCCUAAUAGUAAUUAUGUUGAUUAUAUUUUUUCAUUGUAGCAAACUCUUCAGUUGAGACACUUUUCCCCCC